GACGAACGCUGGCGGCGUGCUUAACACAUGCAAGUCGAACGGAAAGGCCCUGCUUUUGUGGGGUGCUCGAGUGGCGAACGGGUGAGUAACACGUAAGUAACCUGCCCUUGACUUUGGGAUAACUUCAGGAAACUGGGGCUAAUACCGGAUAGGAGCUCCUGCUGCAUGGUGGGGGUUGGAAAGUUUCGGCGGUUGGGGAUGGACUCGCGGCUUAUCAGCUUGUUGGUGGGGUAGUGGCUUACCAAGGCUUUGACGGGUAGCCGGCCUGAGAGGGUGACCGGCCACAUUGGGACUGAGAUACGGCCCAGACUCCUACGGGAGGCAGCAGUGGGGAAUAUUGCACAAUGGGCGGAAGCCUGAUGCAGCAACGCCGCGUGCGGGAUGACGGCCUUCGGGUUGUAAACCGCUUUCGCCUGUGACGAAGCGUGAGUGACGGUAAUGGGUAAAGAAGCACCGGCUAACUACGU
RNAcentral lists this ribosomal RNA (467 nucleotides) under uncultured bacterium. RNAcentral's name for it is "partial 16S ribosomal RNA". It matches the Rfam family "Bacterial small subunit ribosomal RNA", at positions 28 to 506 of the family's 1533-position model. The record is from RNAcentral.